AUGAUUAUCAUUCGGUUCUUUCCACGUCAAACGUCUGAACGGUUGAACCUCAUCGAAAUGGCCACACGCAUCGUCCCGCUGUUCGUGCUGUGCGCGGUAAUGUGCCAGACGUGUCUCGCAAAACCAGCGAAAGUGCUCCAGAAUCCACAAUCUUUGAGCCCUGUGCAACACGAAGAAGCGAUAUCCACGGUUUCUGAUAACAAGAGGGAACAACGAUCGCCGCAGUUCGGAUUUUUGAACGGAGAUUACCCAGACUCUGACUCGGAUUUCGAAGAAGGAGAACGUAGCUUUAAACAUCACUACAAGCAUCAUCGCAAAUCAGGAGGCUGUAGAGAUUAUUCUUGUGGACAAUAUCCUGGAUACGCACCAUCUGUUUAUCCAUCGUAUCCAACACAGGGUGGCGCAUCAGGAUCUUUCGCCACAGCUUCCGCAGGAUCCAUCAACGCAAAUGGACCCACCGGGGGACAAAGUCACGCGAACGCACAAAGCGCCAGCUUCAACUUCGGACCGUAUUCCGCAUCUUUCAGCGUCGCUGAAUCUUCAUCGGGUGGCCAAAAGUUUUAAAAGACGUCCAAGGUAAUUGUUUGUCUUCGGCAUGGAGCUUCGCUUAACUCUUGCAACAGUCAACAAUUCACACGUUCUCGCAGAAUUUUUUAAAAUUUUACUCUCUAUCGUUCUCGUCUUCUCCGUAUGCAACUCGUAGGAGAAAUUUAAAAAAUCCAAAAUUCUAAUCGGCCAAGCGUUCUACGAACGACAGUUUACCUUCUCCUAUUCCACUUCCAUAGUGACAUUUCUUUAAAAAUUAUUCGACUUUUAUUUUAACCGAGUAUAUAUAAGACGCAACAAGUGCGUCAUCGAUGUUGAACGCGUAGAUGAUACUUUCUUUAAAACGCUGUACAUCGGAUCCCGUACACAGAGAAAAUCUUUUUCCGAGUUCCUCCUACACAUAACACGUGUAACGACCACGCCAGUCGACACGCUUCGUCCCGUGUCCCAUAACCGAGAAUAUUAAUUGACUUCGCGCGCGCGCGCGCGCGUGCAACCGCAGCACGCGCGACGCAACUCAACGAGCAUCAUCAUCGCCAACCGGCACACCAGUCGAGACGAAUCAGUUUGACGUGAAUCGGUUCUUCCUGUAAUUCCUUCAGGCGCAGAUGCCUGAGCGUACGCUUCUGUUUACGAGCGUGGAAUCCUCGCCGUCGACUAAUCGCCAGUCCUGUCUUCUCUCUCCUUCGAUCGCGUGCUAAAUACACCUAAUCACGAGCCAAAGCCUAUUGUAUGGAUCCUGAGGAACGUGAUUUCGCGGGAACAAACGUAUCAAGUCGACCAUUGGACCCUCCAGAUAUCCAUCCCCAAUGGACAGGAUCAGCAGCCUAAUCCACGAUGGGGUCGAUCGACGAUCCACGGCUGCGUCCAAGCCAUUGUUUACAAACAUUCUACGUCACUAGGUAUAAGUAAAUAGAGCCGACCAGGCUAACGAAAACGGACGAACCACCCUCCGUUCCUGAAGAUUUCCUGAGGGCCAGUUCCCUUUGUCCGAGCGCCAGAUGUUCCCGCGAAUAAAACCAAUAAAAUAUCGCGAUGCAGUUUCGUUGGCGGCGAAGCGGCGGAGGGACGAGGACAGCCGGUGCAAGGAAGCGAAGGAGCAGCGGGUCGGGGGGCUGAGGAUUAAACAGCACAAAGGGAGACGAAAAGAAGAGGAAGAGGGCCUUCGUAAAAAAAAGGACGAAAACCGAAAAAUCGGGAUCCGUAGGGAGGCGUGCAAUGACCGGGACUGAAUCGUGCACACGCGCGCGCGUGAUGUUCGACGGACACGCUAUCUAUCCGCCUCGAACUUUCUCCAUCGAAAGCCUGUUUCGUUGAAAAUAAAAAGCCCUGAAAAAGAAA
Molecule: RNA transcript, 1887 nt
Organism: Bombus terrestris (buff-tailed bumblebee)
Lineage: Eukaryota; Metazoa; Arthropoda; Insecta; Hymenoptera; Apidae
Exons: 4
Source: RefSeq, a predicted model, not a curated record